This 445-nucleotide ribosomal RNA is filed under the name uncultured bacterium. RNAcentral's name for it is "partial 16S ribosomal RNA". It matches the Rfam family "Bacterial small subunit ribosomal RNA", at positions 354 to 796 of the family's 1533-position model. The record is from RNAcentral.
GUGAGGAAUAUUGCGCAAUGGAGGCAACUCUGACGCAGCCAUGCCGCGUGCAGGAAGAAGGCGCUACGCGUUGUAAACUGCUUUUAACCGGGAAGAAACCCCAGGACGUGUCCUGGGUUGACGGUACCGGAGGAAUAAGUACCGGCUAACUUCGUGCCAGCAGCCGCGGUAAUACGAAGGGUGCAAGCGUUAUCCGGAUUCAUUGGGUUUAAAGGGUGCGUAGGCGGAGCGUUAAGUCAGUGGUGAAAUCCUGCAGCUUAACUGUAGACUUGCCAUUGAUACUGGCGCUCUUGAGUGCGCUUGAAGUGGGCGGAAUGUGCCGUGUAGCGGUGAAAUGCUUAGAUAUGGCACAGAACACCAAUUGCGAAGGCAGCUCACUAAGGCGAUACUGACGCUGAGGCACGAAAGCGUGGGGAUCGAACAGGAUUAGAUACCCUUGUAGUCC